RNAcentral lists this ribosomal RNA (450 nucleotides) under uncultured bacterium. RNAcentral's name for it is "partial 16S ribosomal RNA". It matches the Rfam family "Bacterial small subunit ribosomal RNA", at positions 354 to 796 of the family's 1533-position model. The record is from RNAcentral.
GUGGGGAAUCUUCCGCAAUGGACGAAAGUCUGACGGAGCAACGCCGCGUGAGUGAAGAAGGUUUUCGGAUCGUAAAGCUCUUUCGUUAGGGACGAACGUGCUCUUUGUGAAUAAUGAGGAGUAAUGACGGUACCUAAAUAAGAAGCCACGGCUAACUACGUGCCAGCAGCCGCGGUAAUACGUAGGUGGCAAGCGUUGUCCGGAAGUAUUGGGCGUAAAGCGCGCGCAGGCGGGAUAUCAAGUCUGUCUUAAAAGUGCGAGGCUCAACCUCGUGAGGGGACAGAAACUGGUAUUCUUGAGUGUCGGAGAGGAAAGUGGAAUUCCAAGUGUAGCGGUGAAAUGCGUAGAGAUUUGGAAGAACACCAGUGGCGAAGGCGACUUUCUGGACGAUGUCUGACGCUGAGGCGCGAAAGCUAGGGGAGCGAACGGGAUUAGAUACCCCAGUAGUCC